This 67-nucleotide transfer RNA is filed under the name Parantropora penelope. RNAcentral describes it as "tRNA-Cys". It matches the Rfam family "tRNA". From Rfam's summary of the family: Transfer RNA (tRNA) molecules are approximately 80 nucleotides in length. Their secondary structure includes four short double-helical elements and three loops (D, anti-codon, and T loops). The record is from RNAcentral. Lineage: Eukaryota; Metazoa; Bryozoa; Gymnolaemata; Cheilostomatida; Antroporidae.
GGUUCGGUAGUUUAAGUAGUAAAAUGUUAGAUUGCAAGUCUGAAGUUAUGUUCUGUCAUCUGAACUU